CUACGUGCCAGCAGCCGCGGUAAUACAGAGGGUGCAAGCGUUAAUCGGAAUUACUGGGCGUAAAGCGAGCGUAGGUGGUCAUUUAAGUCAGAUGUGAAAUCCCCGGGCUUAACCUGGGAACUGCAUCUGAUACUGGGUGACUAGAGUAGGUGAGAGGGAAGUAGAAUUCCAGGUGUAGCGGUGAAAUGCGUAGAGAUCUGGAGGAAUACCGAUGGCGAAGGCAGCUUCCUGGCAUCAUACUGACACUGAGGUUCGAAAGCGUGGGUAGCAAACAGGAUUAGAUACCCUGGUAGUCCACGCCGUAAACGAUGUCUACCAGUCGUUGGGUCUCUUGAAGACUUAGUGACGCAGUUAACGCGAUAAGUAGACCGCCUGGGGAGUACGGCCGCAAGGUUAAAACUCAAAUGAAUUGACGGGGGCCCGCACAAGCGGUGGAGCAUGUGGUUUAAUUCGAUGAUACGCGAGGAACCUUACCCGGGCUUGAACUGCAGCUGAACGAUUCAGAGA
This 507-nucleotide ribosomal RNA is filed under the name uncultured bacterium. RNAcentral's name for it is "bacterial SSU rRNA". It matches the Rfam family "Bacterial small subunit ribosomal RNA", at positions 501 to 1006 of the family's 1533-position model. The record is from RNAcentral.